Molecule: unclassified non-coding RNA, 209 nt
Filed under: Melitaea cinxia (Glanville fritillary)
Lineage: Eukaryota; Metazoa; Arthropoda; Insecta; Lepidoptera; Nymphalidae
Description: misc RNA ENSMCXG00005013072.1
Source: RNAcentral
CUGCUAAGCUACCUUACUUUAUAUAAAUGGAAUCUGUACAUGCGAUAGCUCCGUAUGACGUCGGACACGGGGCUAUGCGUUACGGAUAUCACCGCAAACGCAGCUAACCAGCGAAGCUGCCUUCCUGUGUAGAAACGGACUCUCCAUACCUGCUUUACGAUCGACUCUAUUUAAGCGAGGUGAGCUUGAAAACUUUGAUAGCGUGAUUG